CCUUGUGGAAGUUACUUUACUUCGCUGUGUGUCGUCUGUAAAAUGGGAUUCUAAUAAUACCUAUUUCAAAGAAUUAUUCUUAAGAUUAUAUGUAAAAGACACUUGGAACAGUGCCUUGAAGAUGGUUAAUACUCCGAUGUUGAGUCUCAGAAGAAAAUUCACCCAGGGAUUUCAUCAGAUGUUAAAAAGAGCUGAGAAAAAUAAACAGGCAUUUUAAUAAUGACUCAGGGAAAAUUUCAAGAACUACUGCAUUUUCUGCAUCUGCAUCUAGACGAAUGCCUUUGUAUCCAAUCUACUAUUGGAAAAUUCAUUCAUGAUUGUGCUGGGACGAUUACAAAUAUCUCCGGAAAUUUAAAAACUCUGUUCUCACAGAGUUUGCCGUUAAGUAACAUAUUGUGUAUCAAACCUUAUUUUCCUGUGGAUUCCAGUAACAAAUGUUUCAUAAUUUUCAGUGUGAUUUUCAGGCUGAAGGAGCAAAGUCUCUUUGGAACAGCAAGAGCAGUGACAACGAGAAAGAAGUACAGAAUGUCAGGAUUUGAUGGAGCCUGAGUCCCGGUGAGGGGAUGGUAUGGAAAGACUGGCUGUUCAUUUUCCCAAGGCUUUCCUUCUGUCUGAUGCCUCCUGAGUCCUCAAGCAUUAUGGGACUAUGGUGGGAGGAAGAGCCCACUUCUGAAGAACAGAAUGAAGAGGAAAACUCCCAUCAUCCUUCCUUCAUUGUCUUCCCUCCCUCUCCUGUCAGCUGGACUUCUGGGCAAGGCUGCAUCCAAAGAUUGACCUCAUAGACUUGAACUCAUUGGCAUUGCUGGCUCUCUUUGGAGACAGGCUUUAGAACACCUGCUGUGCUUACUACAGGGUCAGGCAACAUUUACAUUGUUACAGCACAUCAAGAAAGAACUUUCUAAUGUUCAUUAUUGAAAUGCCAAAUAGUUGCUGUCUCCAACAAGAUGUGCAUGGUUUUACUUAUGUUAAAAUACAUUUGUCUGGCUUUAAAAGCGGCUCUCUGAGCCAGCCCUGAUGGUCUAGUGGUUCAAGUUCAGUGCUCUCACUGCUUUGGCGACCGAGGUUCAUUUCCCAGUGGCAGAACUACACCACCCGUCCGUCAGUUGCCACUCUAUGGUGGGGGCUCGCAUAGAAGAACUAAAAGAACUAGGACAACUAGAACAUACAGCUGUGCACCGGGGCGUUGGGGAGAAAAAAAAAAGCAGCUUUCCAUGUAGAUAAUUUUCCUUAUAUUAAAAAUAUUUCUGCUUCUAAGAGAGCAGUUUUGCUUGACUGUGAAGCUGGUCUCCCUUGAUCUGUAUUUGGUGCAGGGCCUGAAUCUUUAUGGGUCCCAUGUCUUUCAGUAAUGUUCUUUCUGAUGCUUUUAUAAGUAACUUUGCAUGUAUUUGUGCUGAUUUUUUUUUCUGCCUUGUCUAUGCAUUUCCCAAGGAAGCCUACAGGAUUGAAGCUACUAAGAAUGGGGACUUCUUACUAAUAUUUGUGUCUCCGGAGCCUAUCUAACACAGUGCUUGACACAAAAAUGUUUCAUUCCUGUUAAGUAAAAUAUACAGAGAGUCAUUUUCUUAUACCUUUCUUCCUUCUGACAUGUGCCACUACAGAAUUCAGGGUUCACACUUUGGACAGUUCUGUGGUGUCGAGGGUCCUGCAUCAUUAAUAGGUUCUGGGGAGUUGUGAGCAAGCUUACCAAGUUUCUUUCCUCUUGGCUUGACAUGGGUUCUCACAAAUGACCUGAU
Molecule: long non-coding RNA, 1733 nt
Organism: Equus caballus (horse)
Lineage: Eukaryota; Metazoa; Chordata; Mammalia; Perissodactyla; Equidae
Source: RefSeq, a predicted model, not a curated record